UCCACAAACACUAUGCCUACAUUGUUCAACAUUCCAUGGUGUUGAUCAUUGACAUCAGGUGUGUCAUCUGCUCUUUGUUUUGUUGCUGAUUCCCUCCUUCAUCUCCACCUAAAUCUCCUUGGGGAGCUUGCACGUGAAGGGGUGGUCUCUACCAUUGUUUCUGCCCCCUCCACCUAUUGUUGUUGGGGAAAGGCCCAUUCAUCAGCACCUACUUCAUUCAUGGAACAAAUUGUGUCAUUCAUGGAACAUCAUUCAUGCUACAAAUCCAGAUAAAUCCAGAUAAACCCAUGUUUCAGAAUUCCCUGCGCUUAAAUCUUGUAAGUUGCAAUGCGUUAGUUAUCAAGAUCCAUUGAUAAA
This 357-nucleotide long non-coding RNA is filed under the name Hordeum vulgare. Its description in RNAcentral is "long non-coding RNA (HVUL_LNC008941)". Lineage: Eukaryota; Viridiplantae; Streptophyta; Magnoliopsida; Poales; Poaceae. The record is from RNAcentral.